This 72-nucleotide transfer RNA is filed under the name Ictidomys tridecemlineatus (thirteen-lined ground squirrel). RNAcentral's name for it is "Spermophilus tridecemlineatus (thirteen-lined ground squirrel) tRNA". It matches the Rfam family "tRNA". Rfam says of the family: Transfer RNA (tRNA) molecules are approximately 80 nucleotides in length. Their secondary structure includes four short double-helical elements and three loops (D, anti-codon, and T loops). Further hydrogen bonds mediate the characteristic L-shaped molecular structure. tRNAs have two regions of fundamental functional importance: the anti-codon, which is responsible for specific mRNA codon recognition, and the 3' end, to which the tRNAs corresponding amino acid is attached (by aminoacyl-tRNA synthetases). tRNAs cope with the degeneracy of the genetic code in two manners: having more than one tRNA (with a specific anti-codon) for a particular amino acid; and 'wobble' base-pairing, i.e. permitting non-standard base-pairing at the 3rd anti-codon position. Lineage: Eukaryota; Metazoa; Chordata; Mammalia; Rodentia; Sciuridae. The record is from Rfam by way of RNAcentral.
GGGGAUGUAGCUCAGUGGUAGAAUGUCUGCUUAACAUGCAUAAGGCCCAGGGCUCUAUCCCCAGCACCCCCC